RNAcentral lists this non-coding RNA (21 nucleotides) under Caenorhabditis elegans. The record is from RNAcentral. Lineage: Eukaryota; Metazoa; Nematoda; Chromadorea; Rhabditida; Rhabditidae.
UCCUAUCAUACUUUCAAAAAC